This 119-nucleotide small nuclear RNA is filed under the name Zalophus californianus (California sea lion). RNAcentral describes it as "U4 spliceosomal RNA (ENSZCAG00015019493.1)". The stretch from base 1 to 65 matches the Rfam family "U4 spliceosomal RNA". From Rfam's summary of the family: U4 small nuclear RNA (U4 snRNA) is a component of the major U2-dependent spliceosome. The structure of U4 snRNA from yeast and human has been reported. The record is from RNAcentral. Lineage: Eukaryota; Metazoa; Chordata; Mammalia; Carnivora; Otariidae.
AGCCUUGCACAGCAGCAGUAUCGUAGCCAAUGAGGUUUAUCCGAGGUGCGAUUAUUGCUAAUAGUUGUGGAGUUUGUUCUGCCAGUCUUCAGGACAAUUUCUCAGGUAUUUAGGGUGAU